AGUGCCAACUGACGUGCUGGCCAAGGCCUUCAGGGUUGAUAACGAAGACAUCGACGCCGUCAAGGCUAGGUUCAAGUAGGGAGACUCUGCCCUGGGCACCUCUCCAUCCGUUUCGGAAGAAAAUAAAUCGUUUGUUUGUUACUGAAUAAAUGGUAUUCAAGUCAUCAAGUGAUCUGUAGCGUGUAGGUGAUUUUGUUGUUGUGUAUGUUACAUUUGUUCGUCUUUGAGACAAUAAAACUUGCUUCUGUUUCACGUACUGUAUGUUACUACAUUUUAGUAGUGCGCCUUGGUGUCUUGAUGUGUUAUUACUUUAGUGUUUUCAGCUUGUCGACAAAUCUAUAAAUUGGCAGUAGUUUUCCAAGCUACAUUUUUCAUAAGCCUAACCACCCAAAUACAUGAGACCUUUGUCGUAUGAGAAAAAAAAUCAACUGAUCAGUGGGAGAGGAAAAACCGGGAGAUAUCGGAGAAUAAACCACCCACGUAAAGAAGAAAACCAACUGAUAAGCGAGAGAGGGAAAACCGGGAGAAGUGGCUCUCGAAGCGUUUGACUAGCAAGAUCAAAAUUGGAAUGUUAGCAUAACUUUUGGGAAUAGAACUCAUGAAGUCUUUCUUUCUGCCUCUCACAUGGUAUGGUACGAAAUACUACAAUCUUUAUUUGCCUUUGUUGCUUACCUCUAAUGAAUGCCCUAAACGAUGGGCCACUCUAGGGGUAAGUGGUCUCUCUUUUUUAAUUGAAGUUUCGUUGUCUUUUUUGAAGAAAACCUUUAUGGUGGUUAUACUCGCUCCGUCCUAAAAUAAGUGUCUCAAGUUUGUACUAAAGUUAGUACAAAGCUGAGUUACUUAUUUUGGGAUGAAGGGAGUAUUAAAUUAUGCAUAAUGAAUACAUCGUUUGCUAGUAAUACAUUAGCCAAAAAUGAAGGAUGCUCCCCGUUCCAAACAGUAAUUCAGGGAUCCAUCAACAGCGCUAUUAGCUUCCCUAGGGCAAUGAUUAAAAGAAACAAAACUGAAGUUGAGAGACAAUAACAAGCACUCGUCGAAGAUGGCUGCAGCGGGGCCUAUAGAAUUACCUACUUCAUCACUUCCACCGCCUCGGGACAGUCUGAUUCAAUACUCAAAAGGAAAAAGAGACAGUCUGAUUCAACCUCGACCUGACCUGCCAAGAUCAGACCGUGUAGAAGUGUCCUCGCCUCUGAUGUUACUGCAUGUCUGCAUCUUAAGUAUGAGCAAUUUUCAGUGUGUUUUGGCAGCCUCGCCGGCCCAAGACGUAUGUGAUCGUCGUGCAUGGCCGUGCAUGUAAUAACUAUUUUGGAAAUAAGGUAUGUGGUUACAAAUGGUAAAAUUUAAGACCCGUCCGGUCAUUGUCCGCGAGCGCGUCCGCGGGUUCCGGCUGUGGAUGCUCUAACCACCACGAACAACAUCAGAUUCUUUGGCAUAAGUCUCGCCUCGCCCUCGCUGCUUCGUCCUCUAUACUCCUUCCGUUCCAUAAUGUAAUGCAUAUAGAUUUUAUGAACUGUCAAACUUAACAAACUUUGAUCAAGUUUAUGAAGGAAACUACAUAUAUCUCCAAUACCAAACAUAUACAAUAUGGAUAUUUAACUCACAAUGUAUCCAAUGAUAUACGUUUGGUAUUCUAAAUAUAAAUAAGUUUCUCUCUAUACAUGAUCAAAGUUUAUAAAAUUUGACUUAAAAAAUAUAUAUGCACUACAUUAUGGAAUGAAGGGAGUAUUUGAAAAUAUGGUGAGUGGGUGAGUGCUCAGUUUAGCCCACGGAAAAAAUAUUCCCACAAGAAACAAAAGUCUCUGAUGGGGCAUGGUGUUGGGCACAAUGAUUUCCAGUAACAAUUAAGUAAGUAGUACGAGAGCUGUUCCAGCUCACCCUCGCAAGCAAAAUAUUCAGAAGCCAUCCACCCCCUCUCCCCUUCUGGCAAAAAAUCAGGAUGAAGUUCUUGACCAGAAUGGCUCCUCUUUGAUGCAAGUGGAAUUGAUUACUGGCUGGGACAGCUUGCCAUCAAUGAGGAAGGGGUAUGUAUGUAUUGGUAGAUUGCCAUGAGGUCUAACGGUAGGAGUACUAUCUUGGUUCGGGUGUAUUAGACCCCCUCUUAUUUUAAGCUGAAGUUUGACCAAAGAUUUAACUAAAAAAAUGUAAACUAUAUGUCACAAAAAUUAUACUACCAGAAACCUUUUUCGAAUACAAAUCCAACAAUCUAUUUUUUGUAGCAUGUAGUUUAUAUUUUAUUAGUCAAACAGAUAGUCAAAUUUUGACCGAAAAUGUGAAGGGCCUAAUAAAUCCGGAGGGAGCGACUACGAACUAGCAUGUGCAACUACUCGAUACACCCGUCGCCAUGCAUGUGCAAUCGUGAAUUGUUCGUGGCAAGAGACCCGCGAAAAUGGGUGGUUGUUUCCCCGUGUCUCAUAGCGUGCCACCGAAUGGAUUGGAUCAUGGAUCUGAUUCAGAGUAGUAGCAGGAAGCCUCCAUGCAGCGGGUAAACAACUAGUAUAUCUCCAUUGGCUCCAAAUUAAUGGAAUCGUAUGCUUGCUUCCAGUUCCAUCCCCAUCUAACCCUGUCGCCUCGUCGCAGCCUCCCACUGUUUGACCUUGAGAUGGCGAUGCCAUCCAUAGUUCCACACACAAAUCACCUUGCCUACAAGUACCACCUCCUACCUCUGCUAUUUCCAGACCCAAGCUAUACCACCAAGCUCGUAGCAAGCAAGCAUUGACCAAUCCACCAUGGCUGGGCUUCAGCUUUCCGUCCUAGCGGCCUGCGCCGUCCUCUUCGUGCUCGCCGCCCCCUCCAUCGCCGGCGACCCCGACAUGCUCCAGGACGUCUGCGUCGCCGACCUGGCAUCCCGUGAGUCAUCCUACAAAAUUAUGUGUUCAUCUUAGUUUGUCAACUUUGUCUUUGGAUCUUGGUGUCCUGGUUGUUGCUCACGCUGUGUGUUCGUCCAAAUGCUUUGCGGCAGCGAUCAAGAUCAACGGCUUCCCGUGCAAGGCCAACAUCACGGCGGACGACUUCUUCUUCGCCGGUCUGAAGAAGGCCGGCAACACCAAGAACCUGGCUGGUUCUGUCGUCACGGCGGCGAACGUGCAGUCAUUCCCCGGGGUGAACACGCUCGGCGUGUCCAUGGCGCGCAUCGACUACGCGGUUGGAGGACAGAACCCGCCGCACACCCACCCGCGCGCCACCGAGAUCAUCUUUGUCACCCAGGGAACCCUUGAGGUGGGGUUCGUCACCACCAACAACAAGCUCUUCACUAGGUUCGUCACCGUCGGAGAGGUGUUCGUCUUCCCGCGUGGCCUCGUGCACUUCCAGCAGAACAGGGGACAUGGCCCCGCCUCCGUCAUCGCCGCCUUCAACAGCCAGCUCCAGGGCACCCAAGCCAUCGCCACCACGCUCUUGGCUGCCACACCACCAGUGCCAACCGACGUGCUGGCCAAGGCCUUCAGGGUUGAUAACGAAGACAUCGACGCCGUCAAGGCCAGGUUCCAGUAGGGAGUCUCUGCCGUCGGCACCUCUCCAUCCGUUUCGGAAGCAAAAAAUCGUCUGUUCGUUAUUACUGAAUGAAUUGAUGUAGCGUGUAGUUGAUUUUUUCACGUGUAUGUUACAUUGAUGUGUUAUACAUUAGCGUUUUAAACUUGUCAACGAGUCUAUAACUUGGUAGUUUUGCCAGGAUAUAUUUGCUGUAAGGACAAAAGGCAACUCCAAUGGGCUGACCUAAACGGACACGCAAUGUAUCAGUUUUUUGUCCGUUUAGAUCGCCGCGCGGACACCAAAAGUCUACUUGUGUCCCGCCCGCCGGUGUGUCCAACGCGUCGGGCAACAUUUCAGUUUUUU
This 3831-nucleotide long non-coding RNA is filed under the name Triticum aestivum (bread wheat). RNAcentral's name for it is "long non-coding RNA (TAES_LNC013779)". The record is from RNAcentral. Lineage: Eukaryota; Viridiplantae; Streptophyta; Magnoliopsida; Poales; Poaceae.